GGCGUCAGAAGGGCGAGCGUCUGGGAUAUUUUAAUAUUCAGUAUUCCCAGACUCAGCAGGCAGCAGGCUAAAUCUGUCCGCUGAUGGGCAGGCAUGAAUUAUGAAACCACUCACGUAGGUUGAGAGGUUGCCCGGUGCUGGGGAAGUGUGUCCACCAGCGUCUCCUCAAGCAGGUGGGGGGAAGGGUCGCUCCCCAGUCGGGAGGGAAGGUCGGAUGUGGACAGCUUGCAGUUCCUGCCCAGUAAAACACCAUCUGCAGAUGAGGAGGUCAAAGUGCUGAGUUCCAGUCCUGCAUCUGCUGUCACCGCCGGCCAUGAUGUAGGGCAAGUCACUCCCCCAGUGGGCUUUCAGCUUCUCCUUCUAAAAGCUGAUCUCCAGGGCCCUUCCAGCUCCACAGAUUUCUGGUAUUCACUGACGGAUGCUCUUGGACUUUGGAACCACAGUGUGUUUGGGAGAUUUUGCUUUUGAAGGUUUCCUUUUGAGAUUGCCUUCAUUCACUGGGCAUCUUCUUGCUGAGAAAUACCAUCAAGAAAGCAAAGACUGAAGUUCCUUUUCCUUCCCCAAAUGUGAUGCUUAAAUAAAAUUCAGUUUUGUGGCUCAAACACAGAGGAGUAGGGAAUGGAGAGGUUUUCUCCUGUCUUUGAGCAGUCCCAGCGGAGGCUAUAAACAGCACGAUAUCCCUUCUACCAGAUGGGCCACUGCACUUGGAGAGCCAAGCCGUCACAGAGAGUUGAGAAAUCAGUUGCAGAGAUGAGGAAAGGCUGGUGGCUGUGAUGUUGGUUUAUUCUCACAGCUGAAUAUAGUCAGCCCGGAGGCCUGGGAGAAGAUGGAGAAGACUAACCACUCUGAGAGGGUCUCAAACACGAGGUGGCGGGCUGUGAAGUUCCAAGUCACAGCUCAGGGAACUGGGAAAAUGGCCCCUUGGGCUGACUUUGGAUGCAAGGCCUUCUUGAGAGCAGGGCCAGCCUCAGGGAACAUUGGGACGGGCAGGGUUAGCUGGUCCUCGAAGCCUCUUUGGUGGCUUUGCCUCAUUUUUCUUAGUGCUCUGAUAUCUAGCCUCAGAUAUCCAGGGCUUCCUGCUGCCCCCAGAGCCCUUCCCACCAUGACUUACCUAGGCCACUGUUCAUUUAUCCAGUGACUAUUGUUUUUAAAUUUUUUUCGGCCCUCUUCCUUUCACCAUCAAUUUUAUUAAAAUUUUACCCGGGGGAUAGCACGGUGGAGUAGAAAGAGUCAUGGCCUGUGGAUGAUGAUCUUGGUCCUUUUACUCAUAGCACUGGGAACUUGGGUGAGUUGCUUGACUUCCCUGAGCCUCAGUUUCUCACUUUUGAGAUGGGUACAGUAAUAUGUAACAUAUAGUGGGGGAAUUAGAUGAGAUACAAAGGUUACCUCCAAAAAAAAAAAAAACCACCACAAGAAAUGUUAUUUCUUCCUUUCUGUUCCAUCUUAUACUUCCUGUCCAUUAGAAUCUGGGGAACUUAAAAAAUAAUGCUAAUGCCUGGGAUCCACCCCAUCCCCCACGGGGAGUUGGUACUCUUUGAAAGCUCCUGAGAUGACCGUGUGCAGCUGGGUUGAGACCCCCUGCCCUCAGGCAUCGCUGAUGAAGAGUUGGCUCCUCUAGGCUCAAUGCUGCUUCUAUUCUCAUCGCACUGGACCCGACUCCCAAAGUCAAUCUGUCUUGUGUGUUUUAGUCUGACAAAUAGCAGGUGAUUAAUUAAGGUUUGUGCACUGGAUCCUUCCCCUGUGUCCUGGAAAUUUGUUUUCAUCGGCACCGUAACAGGAGUGGGGCCAUCUUUUCUUCUGGUAUAAGAGGUGGGAGAGGGUAGAUUCGAUGUCCUGAGACGUUGUGGCAGAGAUCACUGGCUGAAAACCAGACAUUCUCUGGGACAUUGGCUGAGAAUCAGAGGGGCCAGGUAGGACAGGUGAGCUGGUUGGGUGGAUUUCCUGUCUUCCUUCAGCAAUGCCGAGGCAGGAAGCCAGGCACCCAGGCUGGGAUGAACUUGGUGAAUCUACGAAUCUGGGGAUUGGGCCAUUCCAAGGUGCUAUGGGCAACGAGACUGUGCCUGACCGUGAGGUGAGCCCUGGGAGGGGAGGCAGGUAUUUCUGACUGCAAGUGGCUUCCUGGGCUACUCCUUCUCCCUCCCAGUUACGUCUUGAAGGAGAUCUUCAAACUGUACACUCUUGACCAAUCUGGAGGUCAUCCGCAGACAAUUCUUGCGUACCCCAAAGCUUCCUGCAUCUUCUGCCUGAGGGUGUUCUCCGGUGGUGGGAGCUUGGCCCUCACUUGGUGGCAUGCUGGAAGUGUUGGGAAAUUGAUGGUUUUGGUCCAGCUUCACAUGGAGGGAUGGCACUUGGUGGAUGAACACCCGAGCUUCCCUGCCCUUUGAUGAGACAGACCUGAGGCAUGUUCUGCACUGUUCCUAGAGGGUCUCUUAUGUGACUGAGCCACGGAUGCCCACGAUGACAACACUCUUGUCAUGAACCUUUGGCUGGCUUUCUUCCCUUCCCUCUCUCACUUCCCCACUCCCUCCCUGUCUUUCCUGGGAUCACCUCACAAAUAGGCUACUUGGAUCCCAAUCCUUGUCUCAGGGUCUGCUUCUGAGGGCAAACAUUUGUUUUUCAUCAUCCUUUUUUAACUCACAGGAGUUUAACGUCUCAGUCUACACAUCUGUCUUGUGAGAUGGAUCGGUCAACGUUCUCUGGGGAUCCAUUAUGGAGCUCACCACUUUAUGUCUUCACUGUUUUUCAGUCUUUCCUUCUGGAGCCUUCACGGAUAGGGAGGGGAAGGAAAUCAUGUUAAAAGUACAGCGCUUUCCAAUCCACAGAUUGCAAUCCAUAAGGAGUUACAAAAGCCAUUUUUGAAAAAUGAAAGGAAACGAAUAUGAUGUAUCAGAGUAUACUACGCAUUGGAAGGCUCCAUACUGUUAUAUAAAAACUGCAUUUCAGUCAUGUGUGAAUAUUCUUGCAUGUUGGUGAAAUAUAUUUCUUAAUGUGGAUUGUGAUCAAAAAUUUUUGAAGUCACUGCCAUGGUGGGCCUCUGUGGUUUAUGCCUCUCCAGGAUCCAUUCUUCCCUUUCCUUCUGUUAAGAGCACCUCAAUAGUCCUUACAACAAGGAAAGAUUAUGCCUCUACUUGGACAUAGUCUUGAUGGGACUGUCAGUCAAAGUGUUCCACCAUUCCUUUCUCUAAAGAUGGUCACAUGACCCACGGCAGGUCCGUCAGAUGAUCGCUCCAGGGAACCUGAAUCUAGAGAGGACACAGACAAGGGCUGAAAUAGCUGAGGAUGCUUCAUUCAAAGAGGAUGUCUGGAAAUCAACAUAUAUUUUUUCCCCUGCUACCUGGAUCCUUGAACUUUCUUGUUUUCUUUCCCUUCUAAGAUUUGGGUGUUCAGCCUUUGGGUUGGUUCUGUGAAAUAGCUGUGGACCACUUCUCUAUUUUUUUUACCCCUUAGGUAGGGAGAGCUGUUUUCUGUUGCUAGAAACCAAAGAACCCUCUCGUACCUAAGGGCUUUGGAGUUAUCUGACCCUAACUCUACUACUUUCUGCCUCUGUGAGUGGAAAAUUACUUAACUUCUCUAAGCUUCAGUUUCCUCUCUUGUAAAAUGGGGAUGUUAAUGUCAGUUUAGAGGGUAUAGAUGAUAUUUAUAUGGCCACUGGCCCUAGACCCUCAACUAAAGGCAGCAACUAUUGUGGACCAAAUUUUAAUCAUCUUUGUUUUACUAGUGAUGACUUUCCACUUAUUAAAUAUCUGUGGAGUGAAUAAAUGAACCCACAUGACAAUGUGGAUUUUCACGAUGAAAACCCACAGCUGAGUAUCUUAGACAGUUACAACCCCUUGGGUAUCAAACAUGUGAUUUAUUGUUCAAAAAGUUAAUAUGAGAAAAUCUCCAUGACCUGGGUUAGGCAAAAGAGUGCUUACUAAUGAUAAUAAAACCAUAAUCCCUAAAAGAAAAAAUUGAUACACUGGACAUCCUCCAAAUUAGAAACUUCUGCCCCAUGAAAGAUAAUGUUAAGAGAAUAAAAAGACAACCUAGAGACUGGGAGAAAUAUUUUGCAAAUCGCACAUCCAACAAAGGACUUGUAUCUAGAGUAUAUAAAACCUGAAAAACACACAACCUAAUUUAAAAAUGAGCAAAAGACUUAAACAGAUGUAUCACCAAAGAGGACAUACAGAGGGCAAAGAAGUGCACUGAAAGAUGCUCCGCAUCAUUAGUCAUUAGGGAAAAGCAAAUUAAAGUCAUGAUGAGAUACAACCACAUACGAUCAGAAUGGCUAAAAUCAAAAUACUGACAAUACCAAGGGCUGACAAGGAUGCAGAACAACUGGACCUCUCCCACAUUGCUGGUGGGAAUGGAAAAUGGCUCAAGUACUCUGGAAGACAAUUUGAUCAUUUUUUAUAAAGUUAAACCUCCACAUACCACAUGGCCCAACAAUCCUGCUCCUGAGAAAUGAAGUGAAAACUUAUGUUCACGCGAAACCCGUACACAUCUUUGUAGCAGCUCUAUUCAUAAUCAUUCCAAGCUGGAAACAGCUCCGAUGUCCUUCAGCAGUUGAGUGGAUAUACAAACUGUGGUACAUCCCUACAACGUCAGAAAACCCAGUAAUAAAAAGGAAUGAAGUAUUGAUGACACAACAAACUUGGACGAAUUGUAGAGGCAUUAUGCUGAGUGAAAGAAGCCAGUCUCAAAGGAGAGAAAACUGAGCCUCAGAGAGGUUAAAGAAAUUUCUAAGGAUGCACAACUGCUUGCACGCUGUUGGCUGUCUCAGGCUCUCCACGUGGUGGCGAGACGGUAGCUCCAGCCCCUGAAUCCUCUGGGUUCCUGGGACAGCGGGAGAGAUGUCCUCCUUUUCUCAACAGCUCAAGCAAGUCAUGGGAUGAAAUAAUUCAAAAAAUAUUUACUGAGGGCCCACUAUGCACCAGGGACUCUUCCGUAUGCUGGGACACGGAGAAGAAGAGACAGAAGAGCUUCUGGUCGUCAUGGAGCUUUCACACGACAGCCUUUGUGGGCUCUGAUUGGACUGUCUUUGGACACGUGCUAUCUGUGAACCAAUCACUGUAGCCUGGAGUAUGUGACGUAAGGAGUGGCUUGGGCUGGGUCGUGUGCCCCUCUUAAAGAAGGCAAGCUGCUUCUUUGUGAGUGCAGGCACUAUGUCCUGGUUAUGUUUGUGGUGUGUCUCCAGGCGCAACGCAAGGAUGUGCCCAUCAUAAGCAUAUGAGAAAUGAUGCCACAUGAGUGAGUGAACAACUGAAUAAAUAAGCAAAAGAGGGAGAAAGUACAUGAUAGGCAAAUGCAUAGAAACUCCUUAAAAGGGGACAAAUCCAAACAAACAACCAUAAAAUGAUGGCUAUCAGUGGCCAACCAGAAAAGUGAUAUAAUAGUCACUGUAAAUUGUGUGCUAAAAAUAUUUGCACAGUGUUUCUCAUCAGGACAAGAAAAUCCUACUCAUUAUUCAGAGAAACAUUAGAAACAAAACUGAAGUUGUGGUUACUUUCGAAGUCGUCCUUGGGGUCGACAAACCCAAGGGUCACUCUGGGCCUCACACUUUGAGGAGCAUGUGAAAGAAGCAAUGCAGACAGCUCACAGCUGGCAGGUAAAAUAUGUUGAUGUCAUUAUGUAAACAUCUGCCACCCUCACCUUUCCGCUUUCCCUGUCUCAGCCUGCUGUGGACACCUGGGAAACGUUUCUCCUCGCUGUCUGAUGUUCUUGGGCACAGCCUCUCAGUUUCUUUGAUGGAGGCUGCCUUUGAUGUUCAUUUUAUGCAGAUUUCAAUUGGUAAAAAAAUACAAGGCAAGAAAAAAAUCUGAAAGAAAAAUUUAUACCUCUAAAACCUAGCAUGGGAAGGGUCUUUUAUUGGUCCUAGAUCCUGAAAGAUUUGUUUCCAACUGUCUUGUACAAAACCUCGGUGGGUCAGCACGUGGAGGAAUGUGUGUAAUUUUAGUCGUUGCACAGCUCAAGAAAGGACACGUAGAGGACACACAGGAAGAGGCAAACUAAAUUAUUAAGAGGACCCUACCUUUGAACAAGACUUUAAAGGAUAUGGACCCAAAAGUGGAAAGACCAAAGUUUUAAAGAAAUAAGUAGAUGCUAUGAGUUCAUGAAGGGCAUGGGAAAGAUGCCUAUAAAUGAGCUGGUUCGCCAAAUCCCAAUGGACCCAAAUAUGAUGUUUCUAAAAGGAUGGCUCAUAGUGAGUAGGAGUGGUUGCAAACAAUGGUGGCAAACACUUGGAAUUUACUACCCUUAGAAGUAGCACUGUUUGAAAAGAUAAAGUUCUUUAAGAAUUUGGGUAAGUCUAUGGGUGAGAGAGCAAGAGGGAGUCUUCAGAGAUGGGAGGGUGCUCUAGAGGCAGCCCCACCCAUAAGGGACAAUCACACCCACCCUCAGUUCUUCUGUCAGAGACAGAGUGUUAGACAAGCAUCCAGGUGGAUCAUGGACGAGCUCAGGACAGGUCUCAACAAUGUUGUGAGAAUAAACCAAGGAGAUCUGCUGGUAAUAUGAUCCUUCAGUUCUUUUUCGGAAAAAGAGGCAACAGCUGUCCUGUCACAAAUGGUUGAAUGUCCAUGUUCCAUCUCCACCUGUAGCCCAGAAUAAUAUCUACUCUUGGUUGUUUUUCUCAGGGGCGCAGGAGACGUGUGGCAUGUUCUUCAGGAUUGGGAAGUUUGGACAGCGCUGUCAUCGCUGGGGGGACACGGAGGAUUGAAAUUCUGAGGAGACCCUCCGGGGCCCAGGGACCCCUGAGAAUAAUUGGAGGCUGGGGAGGCCCCUGGAGCUGACGGAGGGAACAGCGGCUCCCCUACUGGAAGCCCGAGGAACAGCAGUCCUGCCUCGCUGGAGUCAGCAGACAGUCACAGGGCCCAAGGAUGCCACCGUUCAAGAGCAGAAGGCAGGCCUAGGAGUCUGGUGGAGCGUGGUGGGCAGAGGCCAAAGAAAGCCUGGAUCCUUUUUGAGCUUCCAAGUCUCAGGACACAGAGGUCCCUGACUUUAGAAGCAUAGAAACGUUAGUACAGAAAGGAAUCUUCAAAAGUGAGGGUAAAAUUAUUUAAUACAGUUCUGUGGUUUCCAAACCCGAAACAAAAAUUAGUUGCUUUUCUCUAGACUGAUUCAGCCAACAAAUAUUUGUUAGGAGUCUGCAAUCAGCGUAUUCAGAAAGACUUCACAUGUGAAAUAUACAUUUUUAAAAAAAUGACGUUAUCAAAUCCCUUCAGUGGUCUUUUCUAAAAUAUUUAUAACCUGAAAGCAAUAAUGUACAUAGUAAAAAAUUCAAACUGAACCAAAAGUUAUACAAUGGAAAGUAAAAAUCCUCUCUUUCUCCCUUGAAUGUCUGUUUAAAAUGCUCAAAGAGCUUGGCGUAUAGUAGCUGUUCAAUAAACAUUAGUUUGCUACCGAUGAACGUUGAAGGUGGACCAGAAAAAACAGCAACAAAAUGUGUUAUCAAACGGAAAACCAACUGGGCAGUGCGUGAGGGAUGGGGUCAGGGGCCAGAGGUGUGACAGCCAGGUCCACCACUGUUGCUUUUGAAUUUGAGAGCUUUAAAGGUUAUUUAACCCAGACUCGACCAAAUGUUUAGAGAAGGUGUUCUGUGUCACUCUGGGAGCCUCUGUAAGCAGAGAACCCAGGGUCAUGAGUUAAAAGGAGUAGGAUCAGUUUUUCCACAUCUAGUAGAAGAGAGAGGAUGAAGGAACCGAGGCCUGUAAACGUUUUGAGAAUAAUAUGAGAAAAGCAGCCAUUCAUCAGAAGACAUUAUUUCUAUUUUACUAUUAAAUGGAUGCUAAUUUUCCUUCUUUGACUUUCUUUUUUUCUUCCCAGCCCUGGCUGCCAAUUUCCUCCUUCCUGUUG
Long non-coding RNA from Equus caballus (horse), 7830 nucleotides. The record is from Ensembl. Lineage: Eukaryota; Metazoa; Chordata; Mammalia; Perissodactyla; Equidae.